Molecule: transfer RNA, 72 nt
Filed under: Sphaerodactylus townsendi
Lineage: Eukaryota; Metazoa; Chordata; Lepidosauria; Squamata; Sphaerodactylidae
Description: tRNA-Ala
Rfam family: tRNA
About the family: Transfer RNA (tRNA) molecules are approximately 80 nucleotides in length. Their secondary structure includes four short double-helical elements and three loops (D, anti-codon, and T loops). Further hydrogen bonds mediate the characteristic L-shaped molecular structure. tRNAs have two regions of fundamental functional importance: the anti-codon, which is responsible for specific mRNA codon recognition, and the 3' end, to which the tRNAs corresponding amino acid is attached (by aminoacyl-tRNA synthetases). tRNAs cope with the degeneracy of the genetic code in two manners: having more than one tRNA (with a specific anti-codon) for a particular amino acid; and 'wobble' base-pairing, i.e. permitting non-standard base-pairing at the 3rd anti-codon position.
Source: RNAcentral
GGAGGCGUGGUUCAGCGGCAGAGCAUCUGCUUGGCAUGCAGAAGGUCCCAGGUUCAAACCCCAGCCUCUCCA